RNAcentral lists this ribosomal RNA (244 nucleotides) under uncultured bacterium. RNAcentral's name for it is "partial 16S ribosomal RNA". It matches the Rfam family "Bacterial small subunit ribosomal RNA", at positions 113 to 353 of the family's 1533-position model. The record is from RNAcentral.
ACACGUGGGUAACCUGCCUUAUAGUGGGGGAUAGCCUUUCGAAAGGAAGAUUAAUACCGCAUAAGAUUGUAGUAUCGCAUGAUAUAGCAAUUAAAGGAGCAAUUCGCUAUAAGAUGGACCCGCGUCGCAUUAGCUAGUUGGUGAGGUAAUGGCUCACCAAGGCGACGAUGCGUAGCCGACCUGAGAGGGUGAUCGGCCACAUUGGGACUGAGACUCGGCCCAGACUCCUACGGGAGGCAGCAUG